CCUGAGUGGGCAGGAGCCCCCAGCAGCCCCCAGCUCUCCUUGCCCUCCUCACUUUGCCAGCUCCUGGAGGAGCUAUUGCUGCACUGAGGACAGAGCAAGACACCCCCUGCAACAUCCCCACUCCUGCAACCAUCCCACGCUGCUGCAGCUCUCAAACUGGUGCUGCUUUGAUGGAUUAAAACCUAGUAAUAAUUUACUGAUCCGUGAAGCCUGAUAUUUCAUCCGGGAAAUGAAAGAGACAUUCACAGGAUUAUACACUCCCACCAUCUUAUAUCAUCAGUCUUCCCUCUGGAUUUUUUUCAGGUUCAUAAGCUUGGAAGCUCUCAAAGUUUUUCUGCUAUCAGAUAAAAACCUGUGAAAAACUCCCAGACUGAGGCUCCUGAUUCAGGGACAAGAUCAUCCUGUGCUAAUAAAGAUUUGAGCAGAGGAUCUUUGAAAUUAUUU
RNAcentral lists this long non-coding RNA (444 nucleotides) under Cyanistes caeruleus (blue tit). Its description in RNAcentral is "lncRNA (ENSCCEG00000005655.1)". Lineage: Eukaryota; Metazoa; Chordata; Aves; Passeriformes; Paridae. The record is from RNAcentral.